CUGGCUCUUUCAGGGUCCGAGUUGUAAUUUGUAGAAGAUGUUUCGGGUGUGGUUCCGGUCUAAGUUCCUUGGAACAGGACGUCAUAGAGGGUGAGAAUCCCGUAUGUGACCGGUAACUUUCGCUCAUGUGAAACUCUUUCGACGAGUCGAGUUGUUUGGGAAUGCAGCUCAAAAUGGGUGGUAAAUUUCAUCUAAAGCUAAAUAUUGGCCAGAGACCGAUAGCGCACAAGUAGAGUGAUCGAAAGAUGAAAAGCACUUUGGAAAGAGAGUUAAACAGUACGUGAAAUUGUUGAAAGGGAAGCGCUUGCAAUCAGACUUGCGCCUAGUUGAUCAUCUGAGCUUCUGCUCAGUGCACUUGAUUAGGCUCAGGCCAGCAUCAGUUUGGGCGGUUGGAUAAAGACUUAGGGAAUGUGGCCUCUCUCGGGGGGUGUUAUAGCCCUAGGUGCAAUGCAGCCAGCCUGGACUGAGGACCGCGCUUCGGCUAGGAUGCUGGCGUAAUGGUUGUAAGCGACCCGUCUUGAAACACGGACCAAGGAGUCUAACAUUUAUGCGAGUAUUUGGGUGUUAAACCCAUAUGCGUAAUGAAAGUGAACGGAGGUAAGAACCCUUAAGGGUGCAUUAUCGACCGAUCCUGAUGUCUUCGGAUGGAUUUGAGUAAGAGCAUAACUGUUGGGACCCGAAAGAUGGUGAUCUAUACGUGAAUAGGGUGAAGCCAGAGGAAACUCUGGUGGAGGCUCGCAGCGGUUCUGACGUGCAAAUCGAUCGUCAAAUUUGCGUAUAGGGGCGAAAGACUAAUCGAACCAUCUAGUAGUGU
This 814-nucleotide ribosomal RNA is filed under the name Ciboria americana. Its description in RNAcentral is "eukaryotic LSU rRNA". It matches the Rfam family "Eukaryotic large subunit ribosomal RNA", at positions 122 to 952 of the family's 3401-position model. Lineage: Eukaryota; Fungi; Ascomycota; Leotiomycetes; Helotiales; Sclerotiniaceae. The record is from RNAcentral.